AAAGAUCCCAGCAUUCAAGAACCUGGAGAAAAAAGAACAAAAUUUCAAGAAACAAAUUUUUAAUUUUUAAUUUCCAAGUAGUGUAAGUCGACUUGUAUGAAUCUGUUUCCCCAAUUUUCACUCCAUUUAAAGCUAAAAUAUUUUUUAAAAAAAUAAAUUAAAUAAAAAAAGAAGUGAAAGCAUUUGCAGUUGCAGCCGAACAAGAACAUGGACUUUGACCAAGAUUCCAUUUCCAAAAGAAAUUUUGUGCAAUGUGAGAGCAUCCUCAGGCAAUUUCAGGGAUCUUACAUGGGAAAUUGCCAACUUGUAGAUUAAAGAAAACAGUUCAAAUGUAUCAAUCAAGAACUUGUCUCUUCCGGAUUAAAGAAAUGCAUAGUAAUUAGUAACAAAAAGCAAUAUCAUUUUCAUUGACUUAGGCACAUAAACACAUUCUAAAUUGACAUAAUUAUUAUAAUUAGCAAUCUUAAUUAGCUUGUCUACUACAAGUCUUUGGUAUUGGAUUUAAUCAUUUUACCUAUUCUAUAUUUUGCUUAGCUAAGUAGGAAAUUUUUUUUUAUGAAUAAAGCAAUUAUGUACUAGU
Molecule: unclassified non-coding RNA, 580 nt
Filed under: Hevea brasiliensis (rubber tree)
Lineage: Eukaryota; Viridiplantae; Streptophyta; Magnoliopsida; Malpighiales; Euphorbiaceae
Source: RNAcentral